GAGGAAAAGGAACCAACAGGGAUUGCCCCAGUAACGGCGAGUGAAGCGGCAACAGCUCAAAUUUGAAAUCUGGCCCCCAGGGUCCGAGUUGUAAUUUGCAGAGGAUGAUUUUGGCGAGGUGCCUUCCGAGUUCCCUGGAACGGGACGCCACAGAGGGUGAGAGCCCCGUCUGGUUGGACGCCGAGCCUAUGUAAAUCUCCUUCGACGAGUCGAGUAGUUUGGGAAUGCUGCUCUAAAUGGGAGGUAUAUGUCUUCUAAAGCUAAAUAUUGGCCAGAGACCGAUAGCGCACAAGUAGAGUGAUCGAAAGAUGAAAAGCACUUUGAAAAGAGGGUUAAAUAGUACGUGAAAUUGUUGAAAGGGAAGCGCUCAUGACCAGACUUGGGCCCGGUGAAUCAUCCAGCGUUCUCGCUGGUGCACUUUGCCGGGCACAGGCCAGCAUCAGUUUGCCCCGGGGGAUAAAGGCUUUGGGAAUGUGGCUCCUCCGGGAGUGUUAUAGCCCAUUGCAUAAUAUCCUGGGGCGGACUGAGGUUCGCGC
This 536-nucleotide ribosomal RNA is filed under the name Metapochonia bulbillosa. RNAcentral describes it as "partial large subunit ribosomal RNA". It matches the Rfam family "Eukaryotic large subunit ribosomal RNA", at positions 53 to 598 of the family's 3401-position model. Lineage: Eukaryota; Fungi; Ascomycota; Sordariomycetes; Hypocreales; Clavicipitaceae. The record is from RNAcentral.